RNAcentral lists this ribosomal RNA (441 nucleotides) under uncultured bacterium. RNAcentral describes it as "bacterial SSU rRNA". It matches the Rfam family "Bacterial small subunit ribosomal RNA", at positions 30 to 504 of the family's 1533-position model. The record is from RNAcentral.
UGAACGCUGGCGGUAUGCCUAACACAUGCAAGUCGUACGAGAGUUUUUAACUCUAGUGGCGGACGGGUGAGUAACACGUGAGAAUUUACCUUUAGGAGGGGGAUAACAAUCGGAAACGAAUGCUAAUACCCCAUAUGCUUUCGAGUGAAAUGGAUUUAUAUUUAUCCGCCUAGAGAGAAGCUCGCGGCUGAUUAGCUUGUUGGUAAGGUAAGAGCUUACCAAGGCGACGAUCAGUAGCUGGUUUGAGAGGACGAACAGACACACUGGAACUGAGACACGGUCCAGACUCCUACGGGAGGCAGCAGUGGGGAAUUUUCCGCAAUGGGCGAAAGCCUGACGGAGCAAUACCGCGUGAGGGAAGACUGCCUAUGGGUUGUAAACCUCUUUUUUCAGGGAGGAAUAAAAUGACGUGUACCUGAAGAAUAAGCAUCGGCUAACUCC